Molecule: ribosomal RNA, 86 nt
Filed under: Paenibacillus sambharensis
Lineage: Bacteria; Bacillati; Bacillota; Bacilli; Caryophanales; Paenibacillaceae
Source: RNAcentral
UUCCCAUCUCGAACACGACCGUUAAGCCCUCCAGCGCCGAUGGUACUUGGACCGCAGGGUCCUGGGAGAGUAGGACGUUGCCAAGC